This is a long non-coding RNA of Passer domesticus (house sparrow), 3297 nucleotides long. RefSeq lists it as uncharacterized. The transcript has 3 exons. Lineage: Eukaryota; Metazoa; Chordata; Aves; Passeriformes; Passeridae. The record is from RefSeq and is a predicted model, not a curated record.
GUCGGCGGGCGUAGGGGCUGUUGUUCGCUGCUCCAGUUGUGCCAUCCCUGAACGCACCGCAGAGGAUUGUGUCCAGAAGGUUCUGGAAUAUCCCCAGCGAGGGAGACUUGCCAUGCUUUCCGGACUCGGUCACUGCUCAGGACAGAAGUUCUGCUUCCUGCCCAGGUGGAGCCUGCUGGGAUCAGUCCCUGCCUGUUCCUCUGAUGCCAUUGCUGGGCCCCUGGAGCAGAGCCUGGGCCCUGCUCAGAGCCCUCCCUGCAGACAGGGACACCCAGGGCUGAGGGCCCCUCUCAGCUGGGGCUCCUCUGGAGGCUGGACAGCCCCAGCUCCCUCAGCCUUUCCCUGCCAGAGAUGCUCCAGGCCCUAAAUCAUCUCUGCAUCCUCCACUGGCCCUGCUCCAGGAGCUCCAUGUCCCUGCUGUCCUGAGGAGCCCAGAACUGGACACAGCACUCCAGAUACGUCACACAGGGCUGGGCAGAGGGGCAGGAUGAUCUCCCUCUACCUGCAAUCCAUGCUCCUCCCAGUGCAUCCCACGAUCCUGUCCCUCCAGCCCAGCAUAAACCUUGGCGCUCAGCAAGCUCUGCUAGUGGGGACUCACUGAAGGCUCAUGGUUGUGACAGGUCUCACAGUCAGGCGUUAGGCUGGCCUCAGCGCUAUGCAGAAAGCAGAUCUGUGAGCUCACAUUGGAGGAGUGACAAAGGACAAUCAUCUGCUCCCAUCAUGACAUGGAGCAUGUGGAAGGGAGGGAAAUUUUGUCUUGAUGUCAUCACUUGAGGAGAGUUGCUGAUGAGGAGGACUUAACUGACAUAUUUGAUUUAUUUUACCUUGUUAGUCUUUAUGUAGAAAUAAGGAACGUAGAGUUCCAUGCGCUAAAGCAGAUUUCAUGCCCAGAGACCUCACAAUUUCAGGAUCUACAGGCAGACCCAGAGAAUCCAUCAUGGACCUUCCAGAGCACUCUGAACCUACCUGCUUGCACAUGGGACAGCCUGUUGAGUGAAAUUCAUCUCCUUUGCCUUGUCCUGAACCUGGUUGUGAGAGCAUCUUGGUGUGGAUCCUGAAUUUGUUACCAGCACAGGGCCUCAUAUUGAAGUCCCAGUGAACACAGCUUCUGGAAGAGCCUAGGGAGAGGAUGUUCUUGCUUGGAGGGGCUGGCUGGCAUCACAGCAUGGUGUAGCUGACACAGAAGAACCAAAGACAGCCAAACAGGCACAGGAGGCACAGAGACUGACCAACCUGACUGGAAUUGGAGCUUUCAUGUCUUGGGAUGUAACUCAGAACACCACACUAAACUCACAGGGCACAGUCUGGCUUUGGUGCCACACAAUGAGGCUGAAGUGACAAGCUCUCCCUCUUGGUAUCUCAUGGAUUGAUGGUCAGUUGCAGGACAGUCAAAACCUGUGGUUUUAGCCUGCAGUUCAAUGUAUGGAGCCAGGAUAGGAGGUAAGAGGAUGGAUUACAAGGAAAUUAUAUAACUCAGUGGGGCUGUGAAGAAGCACUUCUGGAGCCAUGAAAGGUUUGUGCAGAAAGGACUGGUGUAAGCUUAGACCAUAAAUUUUGUGGUCAUGCUUCAUUGCUAACAUGAAUGAUCCAGCUGUACCUCAGAGGAGUUGCAUUUUGGAAAGGAGGAGGUUUUGGUGAGGGAAGAGAUCUGUGCAAUGGUCAGAGAUAACCUGAGAAAACCACAGGUCCAAGGAUCAAGGAGUCUCAAGAGCAGGGCUGCUGUUUCUGUGGUGGAAGAUGUAAGUGAUCACUGGAAAGAACUUGGAAGGUUUUUCUAACCUUAAGUUAAGCUAAUCCAAGGUUAGGGAAGCACUGCAAAUCCUUUAGGGAUCAAAAAUCUUAAAUCAGCUCUCCCCUCCUGAACUUUCACAAAAUUCACAGAACCAUGAGUCUGGAAAAAAAUGAGAUGAUGGUGAUGAAAUCCCAGGUUUUAGGCAAGUGCUUUAGUUAUUUAACCUUUUCUGCCCUGUUCCCCCACUUCUCUCAAUUUCAAUGGAAUAAUUGAAAGCCUGAAAAACUCCGUCCUAAGUACUCACGUAAAUAUGCAACCCCUGCUCUGCUGCAUUCUUGAUUUACACUUGCAGUCCUUUCACUCUCUGUCUUCCAGCUCCAUUGGCCAGAGCCUUUCCUGUUUCUUAAGUCCACUUAGCAAUACCUGACUGCUCCUACUACAUUUCCCCAACCACUGACAGCCUGGCAGAGGUUCUCCUCUGUUUCCAGGGUGUGUGAAGCAUGUUCUUGUUAUGCCUUUGAUCACUGGUUCUUCUUACUGGACAGGAUAUGGGGUGUUCUCCAUGUUGUUUGUUAACGGCAGAAGUCUGUUCUGGAUUUUUAAUGCUAAUCUGAUCUUCAGUGACAAAGUAGCAGAAAAGACAUUUCUCCAACCCAGACAGCACCAGUAAACUUUGGUUCUGCUACACAAAGAGAGAAAGAAAACUCUUUGCAGAACUACAGCUGUCAGCCCUUGAUGUCUGAGUAUUUUUCACACAUCAAUGGAAUGCAGGAAAAGUCUUCAGGGUUAAAAAAAUGGUAGUUCUCAGUUUGGCAAAGAUCGGUUCUGAUUUUGAUUUGGCUUUGCAAAUUGGCUUAGCUACUUUUACCACUUAAUAUGAAGCAGGAGAUUCUAGGCAAAACAUUUCAAAACCAAAGUGUAAUUCUCAUGUGAAAUGGGGGUUUAAGAGCCAGUUUUUCUAUGUGUCACACAGUCACUAUGAAUAUACAGAAAAUUAACUAAUUUUUUAGGAGAAUAUUAAUUGUUUUGCUGGUGAAGUUUUAAUAAGCUAUCAAGAAUCAGUUCUCAGUUGACCAAAAUAUUAUGGGAUCCCUGUCCAUUUAUCUGUCAUAGUUACAACCACAUCCAUGCAGAGUCUGUAACUGAAUCUGGCACAUGAAGAUGUGAGUGUACUGGCCUAAGCAGCAAAAUCUCUGGCAUUCUGAAGCUUUAAUGUCAAUAAAGAGUAUGUACCCUCUCCCAUUCAUCCCAAAAGUGAACCUCUGAAGAUUUCCAGAUGAAGCACUAACCACUCUGACAGCUUCCCAACAGCUUUGGCAUUCCAGCAAGAAUUUUCAAAUGUUACUAAGGAGACAGACUGGUCAACCAUUGCAUCUUUAGGUCAAGUCAGUGCAAAAUUGAGACAAUCACCCUGUGAAGACCAACCUGCUAAAUGGGGUGACGUUUUGGAGGCUAACCUGUGUUGCAGGCAGAGUUUGCAGUGAUACCAACAGCUGCCCAACUUAGCCUAGAGAUUUGUUCAGUUUUAUGCCAUUUUUCACAGUAAGAAAAAACAACUACGUAAA